This 83-nucleotide small nucleolar RNA is filed under the name Musa acuminata subsp. malaccensis (wild Malaysian banana). RNAcentral's name for it is "Small nucleolar RNA Z266". It matches the Rfam family "Small nucleolar RNA Z266", at positions 8 to 83 of the family's 90-position model. From Rfam's summary of the family: Z266 is a member of the C/D class of snoRNA which contain the C (UGAUGA) and D (CUGA) box motifs. Most of the members of the box C/D family function in directing site-specific 2'-O-methylation of substrate RNAs. The record is from Rfam by way of RNAcentral. Lineage: Eukaryota; Viridiplantae; Streptophyta; Magnoliopsida; Zingiberales; Musaceae.
AGGGAUGAUGAAUCGAUUAGAUGUGCUAAGAAAUUCUCUUUCUAAUGAGCUAAACCUUUGAGGCAUGAUAAAAAUUCUGACCU